Molecule: ribosomal RNA, 637 nt
Filed under: uncultured bacterium
Lineage: Bacteria
Description: bacterial SSU rRNA
Rfam family: Bacterial small subunit ribosomal RNA
Source: RNAcentral
GAGGGGCAGCGGGGUUGUAGCAAUACAACUGCCGGCGACCGGCGCACGGGUGAGUAACACGUAUGUAACCUGCCCUCUGCAGGGGGAUAAGCGGAAGAAAUUCCGUCUAAUACCGCAUAAUACAAUUUGGAGACAUCUCCGGGUUGUCAAAGGAGUGAUCCGGCAGAGGAUGGACAUGCGGCGCAUUAGCUAGUCGGCGGGGUAACGGCCCACCGAGGCUACGAUGCGUAGGGGUUCUGAGAGGAAGGUCCCCCACACUGGUACUGAGACACGGACCAGACUCCUACGGGAGGCAGCAGUGAGGAAUAUUGGUCAAUGGGCGGAAGCCUGAACCAGCCAAGUCGCGUGAGGGAAGACGGUCCUAUGGAUUGUAAACCUCUUUUGCAGGGGAGCAAGGCGCGGUACGUGUACCGCGAAGGAGAGUACCCUGAGAAAAAGCAUCGGCUAACUCCGUGCCAGCAGCCGCGGUAAUACGGAGGAUGCGAGCGUUAUCCGGAUUUAUUGGGUUUAAAGGGUGCGCAGGCGGACUGUUAAGUCAGCGGUAAAAUGUCGGUGCUCAACACCGGCCGGCCAUUGAAACUGGCAGCCUUGAGUGAGCGAGAAGUAUGCGGAAUGCGUGGUGUAGCGGUGAAAUGCA